GAAUAUUGGACAAUGGGCGCAAGCCUGAUCCAGCCAUGCCGCGUGAGUGAUGAAGGUCUUAGGAUUGUAAAGCUCUUUCACCGAGGAAGAUAAUGACGGUAGUCGGAGAAGAAGCCCCGGCUAACUUCGUGCCAGCAGCCGCGGUAGUACGAAGGGGGCUAGCGUUGUUCGGAAUUACUGGGCGUAAAGCGCACGUAGGCGGAUAUUUAAGUCAGGGGUGAAAUCCCGCAGCUCAACUGCGGAACUGCCUUUGAUACUGGGUAUCUUGAGUAUGGAAGAGGUGGGUGGAAUUCCGAGUGUAGAGGUGAAAUUCGUAGAUAUUCGGAGGAACACCAGUGGCGAAGGCGGCUCACUGGUCCAUUACUGACGCUGAGGUGCGAAAGCGUGGGGAGCAAACAGG
Molecule: ribosomal RNA, 400 nt
Filed under: uncultured bacterium
Lineage: Bacteria
Description: bacterial SSU rRNA
Rfam family: Bacterial small subunit ribosomal RNA
Source: RNAcentral